UGUCCUCGUGGCCCGACGCUCUCAAAAG
This 28-nucleotide small RNA is filed under the name Bombyx mori (domestic silkworm). Its description in RNAcentral is "ovarian small RNA-9014". The record is from RNAcentral. Lineage: Eukaryota; Metazoa; Arthropoda; Insecta; Lepidoptera; Bombycidae.